RNAcentral lists this ribosomal RNA (728 nucleotides) under uncultured bacterium. RNAcentral's name for it is "bacterial SSU rRNA". It matches the Rfam family "Bacterial small subunit ribosomal RNA", at positions 210 to 944 of the family's 1533-position model. The record is from RNAcentral.
CUUCGGCGGUUUGGGAACGGCCUGCGCAUGAUUAGCUUGUUGGUGAGGUAAAAGCUCACCAAGGCGACGAUCAUUAGCUGGUCUGAGAGGAUGACCAGCCAGACUGGGACUGAGAACGGCCCAGACUCCUACGGGAGGCAGCAGUAGGGAAUUUUCCACAAUGGGGGCAACCCUGAUGGAGCAACGCCGCGUGCAGGAUGAAGGCCCUAGGGUCGUAAACUGCUUUUAUAUGUGAAGAUUUUGACAAAAAAAAUAUGAAUAAGGAUCGGCUAACUCCGUGCCAGCAGCCGCGGUCAUACGGGGGAUCCAAGCGUUAUCCGGAAUUACUGGGCGUAAAGAGUUGCGUAGGCGGCUAAGUAAGUUAGUAGAUGAAAGCGUGGGGCUCAACCCCAUACACAUUAUUAAAACUACUUUGGCUAGAGGAUGAGAGAGGUGGCUGGAAUUUCUUGUGUAGGAGUGAAAUCCGUAGAUAUAAGAAGGGACACCGAUGGCGUAGGCAGGCCACUGGCUCAUUCCUGACGCUCAGGCUUAACUGAAAGCGUGGGGAGCGUUAACCGGGAUUAGAUACCCCGUUAGUCCACGCCGUAAACGAUGGAUGCUUAAUGUUGGCGGAUUCGACCCCGUCAGCGCCCAAGCUAACGCGUUAAGUGUGCCGCCUGAGGACUACGCACGCAAGGCUAAAACUCAAAGGAAUUGACGGGGGCCCGCACAAGCGGUGGAGUAUGUGG